Molecule: non-coding RNA, 82 nt
Organism: Ciona savignyi (Pacific transparent sea squirt)
Lineage: Eukaryota; Metazoa; Chordata; Ascidiacea; Phlebobranchia; Cionidae
Source: Rfam
GGUAGCGUGGCCGAGCGGUCUAAGGCGCUGCUUUUAGGCACCAGUCAUUUCGAUGGCGUGGGUUCGAAUCCCACCGCUGCCA